GCGGAGGAAAAGAAACCAACUGGGAUUACCUUAGUAACGGCGAGUGAAGCGGUAAAAGCUCAAAUUUGAAAUCUGGUACUUUCAGUGCCCGAGUUGUAAUUUGUAGAAUUUGUCUUUGAUUAGGUCCUUGUCUAUGUUCCUUGGAACAGGACGUCAUAGAGGGUGAGAAUCCCGUUUGGCGAGGAUACCUUUUCUCUGUAAGACUUUUUCGAAGAGUCGAGUUGUUUGGGAAUGCAGCUCAAAGUGGGUGGUAAAUUCCAUCUAAAGCUAAAUAUUGGCGAGAGACCGAUAGCGAACAAGUACAGUGAUGGAAAGAUGAAAAGAACUUUGAAAAGAGAGUGAAAAAGUACGUGAAAUUGUUGAAAGGGAAGGGCAUUUGAUCAGACAUGGUGUUUUUUGCAUGCACUCGCCUCUCGUGGGCUUGGGCCUCUCAAAAAUUUCACUGGGCCAACAUCAAUUCUGGCAGCAGGAUAAAUCAUUAAGAAUGUAGCUACUUCGGUAGUGUUAUAGCUUUUUGGAAUACUGUUAGCCGGGAUUGAGGACUGCGCUUCGGCAAGGAUGUUGGCAUAAUGGUUAAAUGCCGCCCGUC
This 589-nucleotide ribosomal RNA is filed under the name Hanseniaspora uvarum. RNAcentral describes it as "eukaryotic LSU rRNA". It matches the Rfam family "Eukaryotic large subunit ribosomal RNA", at positions 50 to 653 of the family's 3401-position model. The record is from RNAcentral. Lineage: Eukaryota; Fungi; Ascomycota; Saccharomycetes; Saccharomycodales; Saccharomycodaceae.